UCCGGUCUGUUCUAGACCUGGUUCAGUUGGUGACGGUGUCAGAUAUUCCCAGCUUCCUGCGCUCCAGCACAGAGUUUCACCUAGAACUAUCCUCCAAAUCACUGAGAGAUAAACGGCUCCUUGAUCAGUUCAGAUCACUGUCUGGAAAGGUAGGGGCACUGUUCUCUCUGUCCUGUACGGUCAGCUCCAUGGCUCUACCCCUGCCUCUCAGCUCAGCUCCCAGAAGUGGAAGGACUUCAUGGCUAAGAGACCCAAGACC
Oncorhynchus keta (chum salmon) is the source of this 259-nucleotide long non-coding RNA. RefSeq lists it as uncharacterized. The record is from RefSeq and is a predicted model, not a curated record. The transcript is spliced from 3 exons. NCBI's taxonomy places the organism in Eukaryota, Metazoa, Chordata, Actinopteri, Salmoniformes, Salmonidae.